CUAGGUCAAGGUGGAUUUGGUGAAGUUUACAAGGUAUUCUAACUUUUGCAACUUUUUGAUUCUGUUACUUCACUUGAAAGUUUGAAACUUUGUACCAAUAUGGGUUUGGUUCAUUUUCUUUCACGGUAUACUUCCAAAUGGCAAGUUCUUGACUGAUCAUUAAAUUUUGUUACCAGGCUUGGAGUGUAUGGAGAAGUGGGUCACCCUUAGAACUAGUGGAUCCAACUUGUAGAGAAUUAUCAGAGCAAAGAAGUGACAAGAUGCAUCCAAAUCCAACAGAUCCUCCCAACUUGUCAACAAUCAACCUGUUGCUCACUAGAAAUAUCCUCAAUUUACCUGUAAGGCUGUUCCUCAACCACCAAGAACGAGAUGGCCUCGAGUCUAGCCAAUCGGAGGACUUGUGUCAUUUGUGACUUGAAUAUUCAUGUAAGUUCUCUUACACUAAGUUGUGACUGAAAUUAGACGAAUUUGAUGAAUGUAUGAGUGUCAUUCAAACCGGUUAAUUUACUACACCGUAACUGAUGGCUCCUUCUCUCGUCCCAAAUCAGCUUUUGUGGAUUCUCUGUUUUCACUCAACUCAGUUUGGGAAUUACUGAAAUUAGGUUUAUAUUUUCUAUGUAGACUCCAUUGAGCAUCUUUCACCACUCUGGAUAGUGGAGUUACUAGGUAGAUUGCUCUGCUUUAAAAUUUGGUGUCAUCAAAGUAAAUGACUCCACUUCUUACCAUCAUGUUCCUCAUUUCCAUAUCUGUCAUAUAUAGAAUUUGGAGGCAUGUCAAAGAGAUAAGAAUUGUGAAGCAGAUGAUGAGCCCUUGUAUCUGUCUUGCUCUGUUUUAUCCAAUUAAUUGAUGAUCGUUACCAUUUUGUUUUCGCUCUUUAUGUUACUUUGUCUAAAUGUUUAUUUUUAUGUUUGCUAGAACUGUUGCAUCAUCUCACCAUAGGAGAUUCUACAACGUGUUCUUCUGAGUGCCACAUGAUUCAUUCAUAUAGUUGCAUCAAUCUUUGUAUAAGUACUAAUUUGUUGACUACUCUUGACUUAAAGCAGAAAUUGCACACUAGUCAACCCAAUAAACAUUGAAAAAGACACAGGGACCAAUGGGUCAAGAACAACUUGCAAUGGAAAUUUAAUUGAUGUACAUUGAUAUAUGCUUAUAGAUAUACACACUUGCUUGCUAUUCUAACUCAAACAACAUCUGUAUGAUCUUGAAAAUGAAACUGAAGAAUUUCUUGCCAAUCUUCUUGUUUUUCCUUGUAGGCUUUCCUGUCGUGUCUGCCCACAAAUGCGGGGAAACCGGGUUUUUUUUAU
Molecule: long non-coding RNA, 1304 nt
Filed under: Arabidopsis lyrata
Lineage: Eukaryota; Viridiplantae; Streptophyta; Magnoliopsida; Brassicales; Brassicaceae
Description: long non-coding RNA (ALYR_LNC000843)
Source: RNAcentral